UCNUCUGGCUUAACUGGGGGCUUGCGGUGGGUACGGGCCGGCUUGAGUGCGGUAGGGGAGGCUGGAACUCCUGGUGUAGCGGUGGAAUGCGCAGAUNUCAGGAAGAACACCGGUGGCGAAGGCGGGUCUCUGGGCCGUUACUGACGCUGAGGAGCGAAAGCGUGGGGAGCGAACAGGAUUAGAUACCCUGGUAGUCCACGCCGUAAACGUUGGGCACUAGGUGUGGGGGGCCUUUUCCGGGUUUUCCGCGCCGUAGCUAACGCAUUAAGUGCCCCGCCUGGGGAGUACGGCCGCAAGGCUAAAACUCAAAGGAAUUGACGGGGGCCCGCACAAGCGGCGGAGCAUGCGGAUUAAUUCGAUGCAACGCGAAGAACCUUACCAAGGCUUGACAUGUGCCGGUCGGCCCCGGAGACGGGGUUUCCUCCUUGUGGGGCCGGUUCACAGGUGGUGCAUGGUUGUCGUCAGCUCGUGUCGUGAGAUGUUGGGUUAAGUCCCGCAACGAGCGCAACCCUUGUCUCGUGUUGCCAGCACGUUGUGGUGGGGACUCGCGGGAGACUGCCGGGGUCAACUCGGAGGAAGGUGGGGAUGACGUCAAAUCAUCAUGCCCCUUAUGUCUUGGGCUUCACGCAUGCUACAAUGGCCGGUACAGAGGGCUGCGAUACCGUGAGGUGGAGCGAAUCCCUUAAAGCCGGUCUCAGUUCGGAUCGGUGUCUGCAACUCGACACCGUGAAGUUGGAGUCGCUAGUAAUCGCAGAUCAGCAACGCUGCGGUGAAUACGUUCUCGGGCCUUGUACACACCGCCCGUCACG
RNAcentral lists this ribosomal RNA (809 nucleotides) under uncultured bacterium. RNAcentral describes it as "bacterial SSU rRNA". It matches the Rfam family "Bacterial small subunit ribosomal RNA", at positions 600 to 1401 of the family's 1533-position model. The record is from RNAcentral.